UCGUCUCUCUCUCCCUCUUUGGAGAAACCGAUCUGCUCCAUCUUCUCUCUCUCUCUCUCUCACACACACACACACACACACACAACCAACAAUACCUCUCCUUCUUCGUCUUUCGAAUCCCACCAACUCCAAGCCGCCGAUGACUUCCACCAGUCCACACGCUCUUUUCCCUCCAUCACUCUGUCAAUCGUCUCUCUCCGCCAUACCCACCACCACUCCCCUCUCUAUUUUGAUUUCGGGUUCUCUCUCUCAUUCGUCCAGGGCAUGAAGUACUUGGAUGAAAAUGAGUGAGUCUGAAAGUGCUUUUGGAGGUUUUAAGAUACCAUACCCACAUCCAAAAUAUGCUCUUUCAAACUCAACUGAGACGACAUGAAACGACUUUAAGCAAUCAAUCUCGAACCUAUCUUUGGCCUUUGUUUUGUCUGAUUGGAAAUGGUCCUCUUUGAUUCUGUUAAGAGACUCAAUCUUUGUUGGUCAUUACGAUAAUUUGUUUGGCAUUUGAUUUUUGGUUAUUUUUGUUUGUUUGGCAUUGAAAUAUGACUAACCUGUAAUGUGGCUAUUUUUCUUCGUAACUUUGGUAUUGUAACCAUCUCUGUAUUUAUUUUCUAUAUCACCGAGUAUAUGUGAAGUCACCAUCUCAUGCUUAUCUAAAAGAAGUCACCUGUUAUAGGAGUUGCCACAUUGUCUCGCAUUAGCAUGGCAGACGAAUUUGGUGAUCUUGAACUAUUGUAAUUUGGAUAGCAUGAGAGACUCAAUAGAGACAGCCGGACAUUUGUUUAUGUUAGCGACAAAGAGUAGUUUUUUCUUCUUCUUUUUUGCCUUCAUCGGAGUAGCAAGAACCACCGAGGUCAAAGGUAACCACUCUCCCACCUUCACUGCUAAACAAAUGAUUUCAUAUGGAUUUUGUUUUUCAUUAUCGCUUUCCAUUUGCAUGGAUUUUUUUUGGUAACUCAAGGGAGAGUCAUGUUGGUUGGACAAGGUAUAUCAGUUGAGGGACAUGGUAAUUGUCAUAGAUGAGUCUGAUUCCUGAACGUAGGUUGACAAAUCUUCAACAUCACCUUACUCCCACUGAACUGUUGCUGAUGCAUCUCAUUGGAAAUGCUUCUGGUGCCGUUCAAUAUGAUGGAUAAACAAGGAAAUGACUCUGGUCACCGGGGGAGGAUAUAGUCAGUGUCAGUGUGCCGCAACUGGCUUCUCUCUUUUGGCUGUCAAUUGCAUGCAGUUUGACCGUUCACCUUUUUUUAUUUCUUUUCAUUCCGUUCUCAGAUUAGAUUAGAGACUAUGAGAACUAUUAGUAAUACUGUUUAAUAGGCAGCUGUACAAAAC
Molecule: long non-coding RNA, 1326 nt
Organism: Rhododendron vialii
Lineage: Eukaryota; Viridiplantae; Streptophyta; Magnoliopsida; Ericales; Ericaceae
Exons: 3
Source: RefSeq, a predicted model, not a curated record